Molecule: ribosomal RNA, 2477 nt
Filed under: Campylobacter coli
Lineage: Bacteria; Pseudomonadati; Campylobacterota; Epsilonproteobacteria; Campylobacterales; Campylobacteraceae
Description: partial 23S ribosomal RNA
Rfam family: Bacterial large subunit ribosomal RNA
Source: RNAcentral
UUUUGCAUAAUGAGCCUGCGAGUUGUGGUGUCUGGCAAGGUUAAGCAAACGCGAAGCCGUAGCGAAAGCGAGUCUGAAUAGGGCGCUUAGUCAGAUGCUGCAGACCCGAAACGAAGUGAUCUAUCCAUGAGCAAGUUGAAGCUAGUGUAAGAACUAGUGGAGGACUGAACCCAUAGGCGUUGAAAAGCCCCGGGAUGACUUGUGGAUAGGGGUGAAAGGCCAAUCAAACUUCGUGAUAGCUGGUUCUCUCCGAAAUAUAUUUAGGUAUAGCGUUGUGUCGUAAUAUAAGGGGGUAGAGCACUGAAUGGGCUAGGGCAUACACCAAUGUACCAAACCCUAUCAAACUCCGAAUACCUUAUAUGUAAUCACAGCAGUCAGGCGGCGAGUGAUAAAAUCCGUCGUCAAGAGGGAAACAACCCAGACUACCAGCUAAGGUCCCUAAAUCUUACUUAAGUGGAAAACGAUGUGAAGUUACUUAAACAACCAGGAGGUUGGCUUAGAAGCAGCCAUCCUUUAAAGAAAGCGUAAUAGCUCACUGGUCUAGUGAUUUUGCGCGGAAAAUAUAACGGGGCUAAAGUAAGUACCGAAGCUGUAGACUUGCACACAACUUAGAUUAUUUAAGUUUAGAAUAUGAGAAACUAAGUUAUAUGUUUAGUUAUAUUUUUACUGAUUUUUAUAGAGUAAAGAUAGAAAUAAAACUUAGUAAAAUCAGUAAAAAUAUUCUUAGACUAAAGUUAAGUAGUUUAAGUUGUGUGCAAGUGGUAGGAGAGCGUUCUAUUUGCGUCGAAGGUAUACCGGUAAGGAGUGCUGGAGCGAAUAGAAGUGAGCAUGCAGGCAUGAGUAGCGAUAAUUAAUGUGAGAAUCAUUAACGCCGUAAACCCAAGGUUUCCUACGCGAUGCUCGUCAUCGUAGGGUUAGUCGGGUCCUAAGUCGAGUCCGAAAGGGGUAGACGAUGGCAAAUUGGUUAAUAUUCCAAUACCAACAUUAGUGUGCGAUGGAAGGACGCUUAGGGCUAAGGGGGCUAGCGGAUGGAAGUGCUAGUCUAAGGUCGUAGGAGGUUAUACAGGCAAAUCCGUAUAACAAUACUCCGAGAACUGAAAGGCUUUUUGAAGUCUUCGGAUGGAUAGAAGAACCCCUGAUGCCGUCGAGCCAAGAAAAGUUUCUAAGUUUAGCUAAUGUUGCCCGUACCGUAAACCGACACAGGUGGGUGGGAUGAGUAUUCUAAGGCGCGUGGAAGAACUCUCUUUAAGGAACUCUGCAAAAUAGCACCGUAUCUUCGGUAUAAGGUGUGGUUCGCUUCGUAUUAGGAUUUACUCCGAAAGCGAAGAAACUUACAACAAAGAGUCCCUCCCGACUGUUUACCAAAAACACAGCACUCUGCUAACUCGUAAGAGGAUGUAUAGGGUGUGACGCCUGCCCGGUGCUCGAAGGUUAAUUGAUGGGGUUAGCAUUAGCGAAGCUCUUGAUCGAAGCCCGAGUAAACGGCGGCCGUAACUAUAACGGUCCUAAGGUAGCGAAAUUCCUUGUCGGUUAAAUACCGACCUGCAUGAAUGGCGUAACGAGAUGGGAGCUGUCUCAAAGAGGGAUCCAGUGAAAUUGUAGUGGAGGUGAAAAUUCCUCCUACCCGCGGCAAGACGGAAAGACCCCGUGGACCUUUACUACAGCUUGACACUGCUACUUGGAUAAGAAUGUGCAGGAUAGGUGGGAGGCUUUGAGUAUAUGACGCCAGUUGUAUAUGAGCCAUUGUUGAGAUACCACUCUUUCUUAUUUGGGUAGCUAACCAGCUUGAGUUAUCCUCAAGUGGGACAAUGUCUGGUGGGUAGUUUGACUGGGGCGGUCGCCUCCCAAAUAAUAACGGAGGCUUACAAAGGUUGGCUCAGAACGGUUGGAAAUCGUUCGUAGAGUAUAAAGGUAUAAGCCAGCUUAACUGCAAGACAUACAAGUCAAGCAGAGACGAAAGUCGGUCUUAGUGAUCCGGUGGUUCUGUGUGGAAGGGCCAUCGCUCAAAGGAUAAAAGGUACCCCGGGGAUAACAGGCUGAUCUCCCCCAAGAGCUCACAUCGACGGGGAGGUUUGGCACCUCGAUGUCGGCUCAUCGCAUCCUGGGGCUGGAGCAGGUCCCAAGGGUAUGGCUGUUCGCCAUUUAAAGCGGUACGCGAGCUGGGUUCAGAACGUCGUGAGACAGUUCGGUCCCUAUCUGCCGUGGGCGUAAGAAGAUUGAAGAGAUUUGACCCUAGUACGAGAGGACCGGGUUGAACAAACCACUGGUGUAGCUGUUGUUCUGCCAAGAGCAUCGCAGCGUAGCUAAGUUUGGAAAGGAUAAACGCUGAAAGCAUCUAAGCGUGAAGCCAACUCUAAGAUGAAUCUUCUCUAAGCUCUCUAGAAGACUACUAGUUUGAUAGGCUGGGUGUGUAAUGGAUGAAAGUCCUUUAGCUGACCAGUACUAAUAGAGCGUUUGGCUUAUCUUUAAUAAAGCAU